This 447-nucleotide ribosomal RNA is filed under the name Triticum aestivum (bread wheat). Its description in RNAcentral is "partial small subunit ribosomal RNA". Lineage: Eukaryota; Viridiplantae; Streptophyta; Magnoliopsida; Poales; Poaceae. The record is from RNAcentral.
AUGAUUGAGCAAUGUAACAUUUUCCCCCCUUCUUUUGUCAGAGGCAAAACUUUGAACCGCAGCGAGAUUCUUAGUUUUGAGAAGAGUAGCCUGUUGGUAGUUGCAAAUGAUGUUUGUUUCGUAGAUGUGAUCCUACAUUUUGAUGUGCGCGUGCGCGUGCUACCCUGUUUUUUUUUUCUAUCAAAUUGUAAAUUUUGUGUCCUGGUAACAACAUUCGGAGGUAGGAACCGAGCCGGAUGGAGCAACAAGAUUUACAUCGCAUCGAUUGCAUUUGCAGCUAUUCUCGCCUGUGGUGCUGCGGAGAGUGUUGCACUGAUGCAGAACAUAGGCUCAAUGUUGCUUCAUCACAAUAUUGCCUUGUCAGGGCACUGUCGACACCAGAUGAUGGCUAGGCAGCUGACAGAGAAGCUCGGAUCUCCUCGUGGAGCUCCUGCAGCAGCAUUGUGA